RNAcentral lists this ribosomal RNA (728 nucleotides) under uncultured Planctomycetota bacterium. RNAcentral's name for it is "bacterial SSU rRNA". It matches the Rfam family "Bacterial small subunit ribosomal RNA", at positions 558 to 1278 of the family's 1533-position model. The record is from RNAcentral. Lineage: Bacteria; Pseudomonadati; Planctomycetota.
GCUUGAGCACGUAGGUGGGUUUGUAAGUCAGAUGUGAAAGCCUUCUGUUCAACGGAAGAAUUGCAUCUGAAACUACAAGUCUUGAGUGUAGGAGGGGAGAAUGGAACUUCUGGUGGAGCGGUGAAAUCCGUAGAUAUCAGAAGGAACGCCGGCGGCGAAAGCGAUUCUCUGGCCUAUUACUGACACUCAGUGUGCGAAAGCUAGGGGAGCAAACGGGAUUAGAUACCCCGGUAGUCCUAGCCGUAAACGAUGGGCACUAAGUAGUGGGAAUUACCGAUGUUCCCUCUGCCGUAGCUAACGCAUUAAGUGCCCCGCCUGGGGAGUACGGCCGCAAGGCUAAAACUCAAAAGAAUUGACGGGGGCUCGCACAAGCGGUGGAGCAUGUGGCUUAAUUCGAUGCAACGCGAAGAACCUUACCGGGGCUUGACAUGGUAGAAGUAGGAACCCGAAAGGGUAACGAACGGUAUCCAGUCCGUGACUAUCACAGGUGUUGCAUGGCUGUCGUCAGCUCGUGUCGUGAGACGUUGGGUUAAGUCCCCUAACGAGCGAAACCCUUGUUUUUAGUUACCAGCGGGUUAUGCCGGGUACUCUAGAAAGACUGCCGUCGUCAAGACGGAGGAAGGUGGGGAUGACGUCAAGUCAUCAUGGCCCUUAUGCCCCGGGCUGCACACGUGCUACAAUGGUCGGUACAAACGGAAGCGAAGCCGAGAGGUGAAGCGAAUCCAAGC